GACACUGCGAGCGAGUGGCGGUACCGCGAGGAGGCCGCCCAAGCCCUGGGCUGGCGCGGAUAUCUGUGGUUCCGAAACGCUGCGGCAGCUUCUGUCAGUCCUGGGACUUCUGCGGGCGGUUGGCAAGGUCGGCCCUGCUCGCCCAGGCUACGGCCUCGCGGACCCCAGGUCACGCCUCCUUUGAGGAGUACUAGAGCCUCCGUCCUCCCCCACGCUGUUUCCCCAUCUGCACUCAGUAAGUCAGACCAACCGGCCCUUGGCGCCCCUCCAACUCUACCAUCGAACUGUCUGGGCUAGCGGCCACUCAGCCGCCCACCCGACCCACCCGACCCACCCGACUUAGACGGUCCUCGCCGUCAGGAGCACUCUGAGGGGUCCGGCCCGCGGCGCCCCGCACUCACCCGGCUGACGUUUCACCGCCAUCACUGACACUAGAUAGUGCGCGAUGUCAAAAAAGGGAAACAUGGACGUGCGGGAGAAGGCCAGAGCCAACUCGUCCCAUGGAGAAUCCAUAACGACCACCGACCGCGGCAACCGAAGCAGCCGCGGCUACUGGUUCCCCGCGCUCGCGCGGUGAGGAGUAGGAGAGGGCACAGCCGCGGCCGCCCGCUCCUCCGCGCCGGCUCCAGCUCCGCGCGUGCGCCCUGGCGCCGAGGGGGCGGGGCCGCGCUUCGCGGGAGCCGCAGGCUCACCGGCGCUAGGCGGGUGGGCGGGGCGAGCGGGUUCCCCGCGGCUCCAGCCGGCUCUUGCCUCGGUUCUCCUAGUAAGGGUCCAGCGUCUUCUUGGUCCUGGGCGCAGUGCAGGACCUGGAGAGCGUGCAGAUGAACAAAACACGGUCCUCAAGGGGAGACGCUCAGAGUUGGAUUUAUUUCUGUAAAUUGAUGUCAUUCACCUAACAUUUAUCGAGCAACCACAGUGCAAGUCACACUGUGACUUACUGGAGAUAUAAAAAUAAAACAAUAAUAUCCUGACCUCAAGAACUAUGCGUUCCCUGAAAGAGAUUUUUUAUAAAAAGAGAAAAAACGCACAUAAUGGUACAAAAGCAGGUACUGAGAAGUAUAGCUGCCGUGCGAGAGCAGUUCGAAACGAAGAUUACAAUUCUGGGAAGUGAGUAAAGUGACAUGUGAGCUGGACUUUAAAAGUUAAGUGAGAAACACAAGCUAGGUGGGAGAUGGAGGGAGGUGUUUUGGGUUGACUACAAAGUGAGAAAUGAGGUUGGGAAAAGUCCUCGAAUGGCAGACAAAGCCAGGCAGUUUGGCUCCAGAGGUUAAAUUCUUGAUCAAUCACUAUGUUAAGCUCAGAGCCAGAAUCUCUUCUCCUAAUCUCUACGCUAACUGGGUUGUUUGGUGGAAGGUGAGGGAGUAGAGGUGCAACGAAGCAACAAGAUUAAGAAUAGAUUGAUGAGAAGCGACUGACAACGGAAAAUCAGAGGGUAUUCACUGGUCCAAGCAAAAGGUAGUGGAGGCUGUGGCAGCAGAAAUUGAGACCAAUUGUGGGAAACAUGGGUAGAAGCAGAAUAUCGUCAGUGAGUGUCAGUCUGUACAGGCGGGAAAGGAAGCAUUUGUCAAAUAAAAUGAGGAACGGGUGAGUAGGAGGAUUGUGGUUGCAUUCUGAUAAAUAGGAAACAAGAAGGAAUAGGUUUGGGUAAGAAAAAAAACUAGCUUGGCACACUUAUUUGAUGUGUGAACAGAUUAUGCUGGCACCAGGAAAUUGGAGAAACGUGAUUAGCUGCUAGGUAGGUGACAGCUUCACGGGUGUAUGCACUGCAAAAGGAGAAUUUUU
RNAcentral lists this long non-coding RNA (1782 nucleotides) under Homo sapiens (human). Its description in RNAcentral is "non-protein coding lnc-ABCA1-11:1". Lineage: Eukaryota; Metazoa; Chordata; Mammalia; Primates; Hominidae. The record is from RNAcentral.